Molecule: unclassified non-coding RNA, 175 nt
Filed under: uncultured fungus
Lineage: Eukaryota; Fungi
Description: partial contains 18S rRNA, ITS1, 5.8S rRNA, ITS2 and 28S rRNA
Source: RNAcentral
AAGGAUCAUUACCGUUGGAGUUCGCUCCAUCUGGGAUAGAACCCUUGAAUUUGAGUACCUUUUCGUUUCCUCGGUGGGCUCGCCCGCCGGUGGACAACUAAAACUCUUUGUAAUAGCAGUAUCUUCUGAGAAAAACAAAUAGUCAAAACUUUCAACAACGGAUCUCUUGGUUCUG